This is an RNA transcript of Branchiostoma floridae (Florida lancelet), 2878 nucleotides long. RefSeq lists it as uncharacterized. The record is from RefSeq and is a predicted model, not a curated record. The transcript is spliced from 5 exons. NCBI's taxonomy places the organism in Eukaryota, Metazoa, Chordata, Leptocardii, Amphioxiformes, Branchiostomatidae.
UGGAAUCUGUGAUAUUCACCACGGCUUCCUGUUGGAAAUACCCAACAAAUACAAAUAUCUGGCAUAUUGGGGCUUCCCCCUCGAGGUGACGAAGCCUCGAAGGCACGAGGUAAUCUUCCACUGAUCACGCCACACUUGGCGCCGAUCACGCAACUAGAUUUCAGGUGAACUGGGCUUGACCAAUCAACAAACAGGUGGCACGUGUAACAGGUAGCAUAACAUUCAAGCAAACCUCAUACAUUCAUGUGCGAACCGCCAAGCUGAAAAGAGUGUCGUAUGGUGAAUCACAUGUAAGAAUCUUGUAACGACCAAUUGUCCAAAGUUUAAUGGUCGUUGCUAAUAUUUACGUGACCUGAGGUUACCUGUGUGCGACUGAGUGCCGGGCCGAAGACGUCACCAUUUCCGUGUUUCCGUGGUACACACACGACUCCGGGGCGCAGGGUAUGUCCACUAUCCCUGACCACAUACAACGGGAGGCAGACAGAGCAACAGGUGAAGCAACAGGUGACCACCUGUAUGAUGUCACCUUCAUCUAUCAUGACAAGGAUCUGGACUUUGUGGUCCAGGCUGUGAGAUACAUCGAGCAACAGCAAGGCCUUAGGAUCUACUAUCGACACCGUGACUCUUCAGGGCCCAUACUGAACAACAUGGUCUACAGUAUCCAGAAUAGUUGUAUUACUGUUGCAAUCAUCUCCCAGAAUUUUCUGGAGGAUACAUUGCGUGACUAUGAGCUACAGCUAGCAAUCCUCACUGCUGUGAAACAUGGACAGGGGUGUUUGCCGAUUCUCCUUGACAACUGCAGAAUUCCUGCAACAUUGGAAACUAUCGAAACGCAUAAAUACUGCAGGAGCACAGAGUUUAAGGGGCUCAACAGCCUAGUUAAAGUCCACCUGAGCAAUGUAAGAAGAAGGCUGGAGCUUCAAAGGACUAUGUACACUCAAGGAGAAACUGCAGAACGGACUGUUGCAGAUGUGCAUAGGCAGUCCUGCUUCCCCCAUCCUCUCUCACAGAGGGUUGAUACACAGGUAAUAUUUUAGCACUCCAUCAACUAGUGCUCCAUAUUCAUAGUUGUAAUUUAUAGGUGUUGUGUCAUGACAUGAACGUACCACUAAUGUCAGCUUAAUUUCAGAAGGGUGAUGGGUCUACAUAAUUAGGACUGGAGGAGGAGACAAGAGUGUUGGUCAGAGGAGGGUCUUCAUUGACGACAAACAGUGGAUAUACUUCACCAGGGGAUUGAGAUGGGGGUUUGGUCAACAGAAAAUAUAUAACCUCAGUUAGCAUUGAUGCUAUUAGCCCAAAUCUGAGGUGGCUCUGAAGGGAAUGAUCAUCCAUGAAGUGUGGUACCUGUUGUUCUUGAUAGUGUUCCACAUAAAGAUGGUCACAAGGGGUCUUCCUGAAGGGAGAUACGGAACUUGUAACGGCCUUGGCUGGUUGCACAAUGGCUCCCGCUGUGUAAUGUCUCUCCUGCAGUCAGCAUACAUGUGUCUGCAGGUAGCAUGUAAGACUGCAAUGGCACCCCUACACUUGGUAUGGGCCCAGGUCUUCCGCCAACCUGAAGAUUCCAGUCUUAUGACUUACAUAGGGAUGCAUCUGUACAACAGUACAAAUAUCUUAGUUCUUAUACUUGUCUUUCACAUAGUUUGGCACAAUAACUAUUCAUUACUUAGUUUGAACAGUACAUUUCUCAUUGUCCCUUUUGUGAAAGGCCACUUCUGUGGUCAGCAUACCUCAGCCUAUCGGAAAAAACUCAAACAAAUGUAUGAGUGUUGCAAGAAAAUCAGAAAGAAGAAGACAAGAGCAGAGUUGAGAAGAUGUUUAUUCUCUGCCAAGACUAGCUAUACCAAUGUGCGGAACUGUAUCAUAGCAUCAUUAGGAUAUGAACUGUUGCAAUGGGCAGUCCUUGUGUAUUGUACUGCCAAAGGAGUCUUUGAUUUUACCACGCUUCCAACAUUAAACACUUUUCAGCUGAUCGUUUUGUUUCUCCACACAUGUUAUCUUGUUGCGCAUUUAUGGCUCUACUACCAUGACUCUACUAUGUAUACCCUCAUAGAAAAAAACAGAUUUCACUAUCCAGAAUUGAUGGAGGACAGUAAUUUUCACAUUUAUCAUGUAGAAUUGAUGAAUUUUGUGUCUUGGUAUUAUGACAAGGGACAGUUCAAGUAAAAGACAAGAGUUUGUUACAUGCAUCUUUCUUUUGAAAUAGUGAAAUCUAAGAAAAUGCAUAAAAGAAGAUAUUACCAAGGUUUGGUGACUUUUGAUUCUUUAGUGUUAUGUCUAAGAAGAAGAAGGUUAGCUAUUCCCCCUUUGUAAGGGAUGUUUCCUACGCUUGUCAGAACAUAACAUGUCAUACAUGUUGUAAAGGAAAGCUCUGUGCAGAAGGAAAAUUCAGCUUAUCAUAUGAAAAAGACAUUUCAAUCUGAUGGACAUCUCACAUGAAGUCAUCUCGUUUCAACAGAUGCUUCAGGACAAUUUAGUCAAAUGUAAAGACUUCAUUCAUAAAGAACAAUUCUAUGCAAAUUGCAGACCACUAUACAAUAUAUGUAUAUAUAUACUGCUUGUACAUUGUACAAUCAUGUUAAAUGACCGAUAACUAGCAAAUGUAUGCAGUUAAACUGGUUUGUAAGUUUCCAUACAGAGAGUGUGGCAACAAGAUGUUUUACAAUGACUGUGUCAUUUUGUACUAUAUGAUAUAGAUAUAAUGAGAAAAUGCAAAUUCAAGUUUUGAGGAGUAAGCACUGUCACGGUGGUCUGUUACAGUAUGCUACAUUUGCAUACUACCGGUAUACAGAAGUCAUCAUCAUAUGGUGCAAAGUCUUGUUCUUUUGGACAAACCAGGAGGGAAGAGUUGAAUAAAAUAUGAUACUUUGAUGCAAAUGUU